CGGCGAGGAAGCGGGACAGCUCAAAUUUGAAAGCCCUUCGGGCGAAUUGUAGUUUAGAGAAGUGCUCCUGGGGUAGCUCAGGCAUAGGCCUUUGGAAAGAGGCGCAUAGAGGGUGAGAACCCCGUCUGUGGCCUGAAGCCUCUNCUUUGUGAUACACUUUCAAAGAGUCGAGUUGUUUGGGAAUGCAGCCCAAAAUGGGUGGUAAAUCCCAUCUAAAGCUAAAUAUUGGCGAGAGACCGAUAGCGAACAAGUACCGUGAGGAAAAGAUGAAAAGAACCUUGAAAAGAGAGUUAAACAGUACGUGAAAUUGUUAAAAGGGAAACGCUUUGAAACAGUGUUGCAGCCCAGCAAUCAGCCCUUCCAUAGGAAUGGNGCACUUGCUUGGGAAGCAGGGUCAGCAUCAGUUUACCGUGGAGUAAAAAGCUGCGAAUUAGCCUUUUAGGUUGGGUCGCCAGUCAUCUCUGCGGUGGACUGAGGACUGCUUUAACAGAUGCUGACGAAUGGUUUNAAACGACCCGUCUUGAACACGGCCAAGAGUCUAACAAAUAUGCGAGUAUUCGGGUGAUAAUCCCCUAUGCGCAAUGAAAGUGAAAAUGGUGGGAUCUUCGGUGCACCAUCGNCCGGUCUGGUUUUUUUGAAGAUCUGAGUAGGAGCAUAUCUGUUAGGCCCGAAAGUGGUGCUAUGCCUGACUAGGGGUGAGCAUGUGGAAC
RNAcentral lists this ribosomal RNA (710 nucleotides) under Nowakowskiella elegans. Its description in RNAcentral is "eukaryotic LSU rRNA". It matches the Rfam family "Eukaryotic large subunit ribosomal RNA", at positions 87 to 861 of the family's 3401-position model. The record is from RNAcentral. Lineage: Eukaryota; Fungi; Chytridiomycota; Chytridiomycetes; Cladochytriales; Nowakowskiellaceae.